This 253-nucleotide ribosomal RNA is filed under the name uncultured bacterium. RNAcentral describes it as "partial 16S ribosomal RNA". It matches the Rfam family "Bacterial small subunit ribosomal RNA", at positions 524 to 776 of the family's 1533-position model. The record is from RNAcentral.
UACAGAGGGUGCAAGCGUUAAUCGGAAUUACUGGGCGUAAAGCGUGCGUAGGUGGUUCUUUAAGUCAGGUGUGAAAUCCCUGGGCUCAACCUAGGAACUGCAUUUGAUACUGAAGAGCUAGAGUGUGAUAGAGGAUGGUGGAACUCCCAGUGUAGAGGUGAAAUUCGUAGAUAUUGGGAAGAACACCCGUGGCGAAGGCGGCCAUCUGGACCGGUACUGACGCUAAGGCGCGACAGCGUGGGGAGCAAACAGG